This 153-nucleotide ribosomal RNA is filed under the name Enterobacter roggenkampii. RNAcentral's name for it is "partial 23S ribosomal RNA". It matches the Rfam family "Bacterial large subunit ribosomal RNA", at positions 1 to 155 of the family's 2925-position model. The record is from RNAcentral. Lineage: Bacteria; Pseudomonadati; Pseudomonadota; Gammaproteobacteria; Enterobacterales; Enterobacteriaceae.
GGUUAAGCGACUAAGCGUACACGGUGGAUGCCCUGGCAGUCAGAGGCGAUGAAGGACGUGCUAAUCUGCGAAAAGCGCCGGCGAGGUGAUAUGAACCUUUGACCCGGCGAUGUCCGAAUGGGGAAACCCAGUGUGAUUCGUCACACUAUCGUU